CGCCGCGUGAGUGAUGAAGGUUUUCGGAUCGUAAAGNUCUGUUGUUAGGGAAGAACAAGUGCGAGAGUAACUGCUCNCACCUUGACGGUACCUAACCAGAAAGCCACGGCUAACUACGUGCCAGCAGCCGCGGUAAUACGUAGGUGGCAAGCGUUGUCCGGAAUUAUUGGGCGUAAAGGGCUCGCAGGCGGUUUCUUAAGUCUGAUGUGAAAGCCCCCGGCUCAACCGGGGAGGGUCAUUGGAAACUGGGAAACUUGAGUGCAGAAGAGGAGAGUGGAAUUCCACGUGUAGCGGUGAAAUGCGUAGAGAUGUGGAGGAACACCAGUGGCGAAGGCGACUCUCUGGUCUGUAACUGACGCUGAGGAGCGAAAGCGUGGGGAGCGAACAGGAUUAGAUACCCCCAGUAGUCA
This 410-nucleotide ribosomal RNA is filed under the name Metabacillus galliciensis. Its description in RNAcentral is "bacterial SSU rRNA". It matches the Rfam family "Bacterial small subunit ribosomal RNA", at positions 395 to 796 of the family's 1533-position model. Lineage: Bacteria; Bacillati; Bacillota; Bacilli; Caryophanales; Bacillaceae. The record is from RNAcentral.